GAGAUGGUUUACAGGACUCAGAUCUGAGAGGGACGCAGUCAAAUGGUCUAACCAAGUUUUCUUCAAUCCUAUGUUCUACAUUCUGGUUUUGAUGCCUUGCUGCCUUCGACAUUAAGGUGAGGUCCUCUUCCUCAUACUACUGCCUUCCUUCUAAGGCAUCGCAAUUCCUGGAAUCCUUCUUCCGUUUUUCUUUCGAUUUGAUAUUCUACCUCCUGAAUGAUGAUUACAAGUGCAUGGUUCAUAUGAUCGAAUUGUGAUUGCUUGAACAAAAAUCUGAUGUUACGAGCUUUUAGUGCAAUGAUUUAUGGUUGUGCAUUGAUAUAUUUUGAUAGUGAAACUCACCUCUUAUGUCAAGGUGGGAAGCUUGGCUGAUUCCACCUCCAGUCAGAAGAUUAAUACAUCUAUGGUUUUAUUUUCCAUGCCAACAGCUUGAUUGAUGAUUCCUAAUGCAUCUCAGGUAUUGGUCUCUUCUCCGUAAAUGUAUAUACUUUACCAUGCUAAUUUUGUGUUAACCGUUGCAUAAUAUUUUGCCACUGGAGAUAUAUGAUAUAACAAUUUUUGUUGCUUAUAACAUAAAAAGGUUGCAUGUGUGACGUACUGCUGUUUGUAGCUUUUUGCACUUGUCUAAUUCUUUAAGCCAUAUUCUGCUCAUAAGAGAAUAAUUUACAGUCGGGACCGAUUCAUUAUGACACAUAAUGUAUCAUGCACGACUACAUAACUAGAGAGAAUAAAAUGAUGGAAUAUUCUUCUGUCCAACCAGAAAAAAAUUCUUAUAAUGUGUUUUAUUCAUUUGACAUAUCAAAAUACAUCAGCAUUUAAAGAAGUGGCAAUAAUUAGCCAUCCUCAUGCUGGUGAAUACGCAUUUGGGCUUAUAACAUCGAGCAUGAUUCUUCAGGUACUUGUUUAUGCACAACGCUUUCUACAGAUGGAUUCAUGGCAUCAACAACAUUUGAGUGCUUCAUUCUGGAUAAUUUACUCAUUUAUAUGCUUUCAAGAAUUUUGAUUUAUAAUUUUCAUUAUUAGCUACAUAAAGAUUCAUACCAUACUUGUGUGUGCUCUUUUUCUGUGUUACCUCAUUCUUGAAAUAGUUCACUUUCAAGAAAGUGUUAUCCUUUAGUUGUAAUUUGUGACAACUAAACACUUAAAUCUCAAGAGUGUAAAGGUUCACCCAAAGAAUUAAGUCUAAUGUAGCCUGGCUAGGCUUAUCUUAAUAGUUAGCUUAUCAGGAUUAUCCUAUAGUCUAUAUAUAAGGUGGUUUAAAUCAGUCUCUCGUACAUAAAUUUGUUGUGCAAGCCCUGAAAAGGCCAGCUAGAGAUACUUCAAGGUUAUGGGGCCUUUACACAUUUGCCUGGUAAUGUGAUGUCUUUUAGAGCGAUUCAUUUAACUGCUAAAUCCUAUGAACACUUGCGAAUACUAUAUGUUGUUGUUGUUAGGUUCUCUACCAGAAAUCACUCAGAUAUCAUCUUAUCCUCUUGUUCGCUGUUUUUUUGUAACAUCUCAAUCUAGCAUAAGCUUAUUUUGGUAAUGCCUCCUUUUUGCAGUUGCUAAGUUUGAUGGUCUUUUUAAUAGCACUCUUACUAUAUCACCUGAAUUUCUAAUCUUAAGUUUCUACUAUUAUCUCUCUACAGAAAUAAUUGUUUCUGGAGGAAUGACCAUGCCACAGGUGAUUACCGCGCUAGGACCUGCCCUUGAUAAGAACCAGGGAAACCAUUUAAAAAGAAUGAUGAUUGUGUGAGCCUUUAAAUAUCGCCAACACA
This 1757-nucleotide long non-coding RNA is filed under the name Triticum aestivum (bread wheat). RNAcentral describes it as "long non-coding RNA (TAES_LNC008228)". Lineage: Eukaryota; Viridiplantae; Streptophyta; Magnoliopsida; Poales; Poaceae. The record is from RNAcentral.